UACGGAGGGGGCAAGCGUUGCUCGGAAUUACUGGGCGUAAAGGGCGCGUAGGCGGGAUGGUAAGUCGGUCGUGAAAUCCCUCGGCUCAACCGAGGAACGUCGAUCGAUACUACCGUUCUUGAGGGUUGCAGAGGAGACUGGAAUUCCCGGUGUAGCGGUGAAAUGUGUAGAGAUCGGGAGGAACACCGGUGGCGAAGGCGGGUCUCUGGGCAAUUCCUGACGCUGAGGCGCGAAAGCGUGGGGAGCAAGCGGG
This 253-nucleotide ribosomal RNA is filed under the name uncultured bacterium. RNAcentral's name for it is "partial 16S ribosomal RNA". It matches the Rfam family "Bacterial small subunit ribosomal RNA", at positions 524 to 776 of the family's 1533-position model. The record is from RNAcentral.